AUACCUUUCUCGGCCUUUUGGCUAAGAUCAAGUGUAGUAUCUGUUCUUAUCAGUUUAAUAUCUGAUAUGUGUGCCAAUGGUUCACACGAUAUUAAAUUUAUUUUUUGAGGGGGAAAGCCUGUUAAGGUAGCUUGCUAUCUGGGCUUUCAUGCGUCGCCUUUGUGUUGCACUACUGCAUAGGCCCGGCGCGCUCCAC
This is a small nuclear RNA of Salvia splendens (bonfire salvia), 196 nucleotides long. RefSeq annotates it as U2 spliceosomal RNA. The transcript has a single exon. The record is from RefSeq and is a predicted model, not a curated record. NCBI's taxonomy places the organism in Eukaryota, Viridiplantae, Streptophyta, Magnoliopsida, Lamiales, Lamiaceae.